Molecule: long non-coding RNA, 92 nt
Organism: Amblyraja radiata (thorny skate)
Lineage: Eukaryota; Metazoa; Chordata; Chondrichthyes; Rajiformes; Rajidae
Exons: 3
Source: RefSeq, a predicted model, not a curated record
CUUCCCAUCAGUCCCGCGAUCUGCUGCUUGGGUUCCCACACCCUGCCUCUCUAGUUUAAAGCCUCCCAAGUAGCACGAGCAAACCUCCCUGC